ACGCACGCUGGCGGCAGGCCUCACACAUGCAAGUCGAGCGCGCCCUUCGGGGUGAGCGGCGGACGGGUGAGUAACGCGUGGGAACGUGCCCUUUUCUACGGAAUAGCCUCGGGAAACUGAGAGUAAUACCGUAUACGCCCUUUGGGGGAAAGAUUUAUCGGAAAAGGAUCGGCCCGCGUUGGAUUAGGUAGUUGGUGGGGUAAUGGCCUACCAAGCCGACGAUCCAUAGCUGGUUUGAGAGGAUGAUCAGCCACACUGGGACUGAGACACGGCCCAGACUCCUACGGGAGGCAGCAGUGGGGAAUCUUAGACAAUGGGGGCAACCCUGAUCUAGCCAUGCCGCGUGAGUGAUGAAGGCCUUAGGGUUGUAAAGCUCUUUCAGCUGGGAAGAUAAUGACGGUACCAGCAGAAGAAGCCCCGGCUAACUCCGUG
This 432-nucleotide ribosomal RNA is filed under the name uncultured bacterium. RNAcentral describes it as "partial 16S ribosomal RNA". It matches the Rfam family "Bacterial small subunit ribosomal RNA", at positions 29 to 507 of the family's 1533-position model. The record is from RNAcentral.